UGAUGACGAGACGCUAAGGCGUUGAAGCAGUGUAUGUCAGACUUCCAAGAAAAGCUCGCAAUGUCACAAAUAAAAAGUGCCUGUACCAUAACCGACACAGGUGGGUAGGUAGAGUAUACUAAGGGGCGCGAGAUAACUCUCUCUAAGGAACUCGGCAAAAUGACUCCGUAACUUCGGGAGAAGGAGUGCCUUAUUUAUAAGGUUGCAAUAACAAGAUCCAAGCAACUGUUUAUCAAAAACACAGGUCUCCGCUAAGUCGUAAGACGAUGUAUGGGGGCUGACGCCUGCCCAGUGCCAGAAGGUUAAAGAAGUUGGUUAGUGUAUGCGAAGCUGAUGACUGAAGCCCUGGUGAACGGCGGCCGUAACUAUAACGGUCCUAAGGUAGCGAAAUUCCUUGUCGGGUAAGUUCCGACCCGCACGAAAGGCGUAAUGAUUUGGAUACUGUCUCGGAGAGAGGCUCGGUGAAAUAGACUUGUCUGUGAAGAUGCGGACUACCUGCACCAGGACAGAAAGACCCUAUGAAGCUUUACUGUAACUUGAAAUUGGAAUUGGACUUUGCUUGCGCAGUAUAGGUGGGAAGCGUUGAAAAUAUUCUUGCGGGAGUAUUGGAGCUAUCAGUGAGAUACCACUCUUGUAAUGUUAGAUUUCUAACUUUGAACCAUAAUCUGGUCAAAGAACAGUUUCAGGUGGGCAGUUUGACUGGGGCGGUCGCCUCCCAAAUGGUAACGGAGGCGUACAAAGGUUUCCUCUGAACGGAUAGAAAUCGUAUCUAGAGUGUAAAGGCAUAAGGAAGCUUGACUGUGAGACCUACAAGUCGAGCAGGGACGAAAGUCGGUCUUAGUGAUCUGACGGUACUGAGUGGAAAGGCCGUCACUCAACGGAUAAAAGUUACUCUAAGGAUAACAGGCUGAUCUCCCCCAAGAGUUCACAUCGACGGGGAGGUUUGGCACCUCGAUGUCGGCUCAUCGCAUCCUGGGGCGGUAGUACGUCCCAAGGGUUGGGCUGUUCGCCCAUGAAAGCGGUACGCGAGCUGGGUUCAGAACGUCGUGAGACAGUUCGGUCCAUAUCCGGUGUAGGCGCUAGAAUAUUGAGAGGAGCCUUCUUUAGUACGAGAGGACCGAGAAGGACACACCGCUGGUGUACCAGUUAUCGUGCCAACGGUAAACGCUGGGUAGCUAUGUGUGGAGUGGAUAACCGCUGAAAGCAUCUAAGUGGGAAGCCCACCUCGAGAUGAG
RNAcentral lists this ribosomal RNA (1235 nucleotides) under metagenome. RNAcentral describes it as "bacterial LSU rRNA". It matches the Rfam family "Bacterial large subunit ribosomal RNA", at positions 1564 to 2808 of the family's 2925-position model. The record is from RNAcentral.